Molecule: ribosomal RNA, 429 nt
Filed under: Bacteroidota bacterium
Lineage: Bacteria; Pseudomonadati; Bacteroidota
Description: Bacteroidetes bacterium partial 16S ribosomal RNA
Rfam family: Bacterial small subunit ribosomal RNA
Source: RNAcentral
UAGGGAAUCUUCGGCAAUGGGGGGAACCCUGACCGAGCAACGCCGCGUGAGUGAAGAAGGUUUUCGGAUCGUAAAGCUCUGUUGUUAAGGAAGAACGAGUGUGAGAAUGGAAAGUUCAUACUGUGACGGUACUUAACCAGAAAGGGACGGCUAACUACGUGCCAGCAGCCGCGGUAAUACGUAGGUCCCGAGCGUUGUCCGGAUGUAUUGGGCGUAAAGCGAGCGCAGGCGGUUAGAUAAGUCUGAAGUUAAAGGCAGUGGCUCAACCAUUGUAGGCUUUGGAAGCUGUUUAACUUGAGUGCAGAAGGGGAGAGUGGAAUUCCAUGUGUAGCGGUGAAAUGCGUAGAUAUAUGGAGGAACACCGGUGGCGAAAGCGGCUCUCUGGUCUGUAACUGACGCUGAUGCUCGAAAGCGUGGGGAGCGAACAGG